Molecule: transfer RNA, 69 nt
Filed under: Xenopus laevis (African clawed frog)
Lineage: Eukaryota; Metazoa; Chordata; Amphibia; Anura; Pipidae
Also listed under: 2 other names
Rfam family: tRNA
About the family: Transfer RNA (tRNA) molecules are approximately 80 nucleotides in length. Their secondary structure includes four short double-helical elements and three loops (D, anti-codon, and T loops).
Source: Rfam by way of RNAcentral
GAGUUGUUAGUCUAAACAAGACAGUUGAUUUCGGCUCAACAAAUUAUGGUUAAACCCCAUAAUAACUCU